RNAcentral lists this ribosomal RNA (253 nucleotides) under uncultured bacterium. Its description in RNAcentral is "partial 16S ribosomal RNA". It matches the Rfam family "Bacterial small subunit ribosomal RNA", at positions 524 to 776 of the family's 1533-position model. The record is from RNAcentral.
GACGAACCGAGCGAACGUUGUUCGGAAUCACUGGGCUUAAAGGGCGCGUAGGCGGGUGCUCAAGUCCGGGGUGAAAUCCUCCAGCUCAAGUGGAGAACUGCCUCGGAUACUGGGUGCCUCGAGGGUGGCAGGGGUAUGCGGAACUAUCGGUGGAGCGGUGAAAUGCGUUGAUAUCGAUAGGAACUCCGGUGGCGAAGGCGGCAUACUGGUCCACUUCUGACGCUGAGGCGCGAAAGCCAGGGGAGCAAACGGG